RNAcentral lists this transfer RNA (87 nucleotides) under Candidatus Falkowiibacteriota bacterium. RNAcentral describes it as "tRNA-Ser". It matches the Rfam family "tRNA". From Rfam's summary of the family: Transfer RNA (tRNA) molecules are approximately 80 nucleotides in length. Their secondary structure includes four short double-helical elements and three loops (D, anti-codon, and T loops). Further hydrogen bonds mediate the characteristic L-shaped molecular structure. tRNAs have two regions of fundamental functional importance: the anti-codon, which is responsible for specific mRNA codon recognition, and the 3' end, to which the tRNAs corresponding amino acid is attached (by aminoacyl-tRNA synthetases). tRNAs cope with the degeneracy of the genetic code in two manners: having more than one tRNA (with a specific anti-codon) for a particular amino acid; and 'wobble' base-pairing, i.e. permitting non-standard base-pairing at the 3rd anti-codon position. Lineage: Bacteria; Candidatus Falkowiibacteriota. The record is from RNAcentral.
GGAGGGAUGGCAGAGCGGUUGAAUGCGACAGUCUUGAAAACUGUUGAGCCUUAACGGGUUCCCAGGGUUCGAAUCCCUGUCCCUCCG